Molecule: non-coding RNA, 213 nt
Filed under: Pyrinomonas methylaliphatogenes
Lineage: Bacteria; Pseudomonadati; Acidobacteriota; Blastocatellia; Blastocatellales; Pyrinomonadaceae
Source: RNAcentral
AAAACACGAAUGCGGUUUGGUGCCCCGUAGAGGGUGAAAAGGGAAUUCCGUGCGAUGCGGCGACAUCAAAUCGGAAGCUGCCCCGCAACUGUGAUCUCGAUCUCGCGUGCGGCGAGAUAAAAGUCCCCGAUCUCGAAAGCCACUGUCCGCUGGAUGGGAAGGCCGAUCGGGGAUCGAGAAAGCCAGGAGACCUGCCAAACCGCCAGAGGCAAA